Molecule: ribosomal RNA, 239 nt
Filed under: uncultured Bacteroidales bacterium
Lineage: Bacteria; Pseudomonadati; Bacteroidota; Bacteroidia; Bacteroidales
Description: partial 16S ribosomal RNA
Rfam family: Bacterial small subunit ribosomal RNA
Source: RNAcentral
CCGGCGCACGGGUGAGUAGCGCGUAUCCAACCUGCCCAUCACUUGGGAAUAACCUUGCGAAAGUAAGACUAAUACCCAAUGAUAUCUCUAUAAGACAUCUGAAAGAGAUUAAAGAUUUAUCGGUGAUGGAUGGGGAUGCGUCUGAUUAGCUUGUUGGCGGGGUAACGGCCCACCAAGGCAACGAUCAGUAGGGGUUCUGAGAGGAAGGUCCCCCACAUUGGAACUGAGACACGGUCCAA